Cyprinus carpio (common carp) is the source of this 312-nucleotide long non-coding RNA. NCBI's taxonomy places the organism in Eukaryota, Metazoa, Chordata, Actinopteri, Cypriniformes, Cyprinidae. The record is from Ensembl.
AGCUAAUAUAAACAUGGACUUUGAGGAGAGCAUGAGUUUACCUGCGUUUAUCAAGGGACUUACAACUUCACCUGUGUGUAAGAAAUUGCACCCUGGUACAAAAUGGAUUGGAUUAUCUAUUUGACAGCUACCAAGAUGAGUAAAAAAGCAACAAUAAUUGCAGUGUUAAGUUUAGUAUUAUGUAGCACCAGUCUUCAAACACAAGCAACAACAACAGCUGGAACUACAAACGUAACUCCACAAACAACUGAACCUACAACUGUGGUAACGACAAACUCACCUACAACUGCAACUCCACUUCCAACGACCGUA